Molecule: ribosomal RNA, 253 nt
Filed under: uncultured bacterium
Lineage: Bacteria
Description: partial 16S ribosomal RNA
Rfam family: Bacterial small subunit ribosomal RNA
Source: RNAcentral
UACGAAGGGGGCUAGCGUUGCUCGGAAUCACUGGGCGUAAAGGGCGCGUAGGCGGCCAUUUAAGUCGGGGGUGAAAGCCUGUGGCUCAACCACAGAAUUGCCUUCGAUACUGGCUGGCUUGAGUAUGGUAGAGGUCAGUGGAACUGCGAGUGUAGAGGUGAAAUUCGUAGAUAUUCGCAAGAACACCAGUGGCGAAGGCGGCUGACUGGACCAUUACUGACGCUGAGGCGCGAAAGCGUGGGGAGCAAACAGG